This is a long non-coding RNA of Panicum virgatum (switchgrass), 627 nucleotides long. RefSeq lists it as uncharacterized. The record is from RefSeq and is a predicted model, not a curated record. The transcript has 2 exons. NCBI's taxonomy places the organism in Eukaryota, Viridiplantae, Streptophyta, Magnoliopsida, Poales, Poaceae.
CCAUAAACCAUUCAAUCUGCUCUCUGGAUCUGUGCGCCACUCCACCGGGGUUGUAUUCCUCUUGUAUUUCCAUUUUUUUCUUUGCGUAUUAUUUCCUUUGUUCCUAUAUCUAUUCCUCUUUGUUCCUCUCCUCUCUCCUCUCUCCUCUAUACUUCCCCUGCUACCUCGUUUCUUCGUCUCCGCCGGCGAGCAAAGCCAUUGUACCGGCGGGGACACGAUUGUCUCCGUCAUGUCCAUCUUCGGCAUGCUGCCAUCUUCCGCCGGCCACCCCAUCCUAGUGGUGCAUGAUGGUCCUCAACUGUGGAAUUAAGCCUUAAUCUCACAGCUUCGGUGGUCUGAAUUAUCCUUGUUCAACACAACCAUUUGAGUUUUCAGGUCUUCUGGACGCAACAAUGAACAAUGUUCCUUGUAGCACUAAUGACAUGAAUUAGUGCAGUAAUAUACAAUUCUAGUAUUCUACACUCGUUUCUCUACAUUAAUAUGCAAGUAGUAUUUAUUUCUCUUAUUCUUGUUGUACUUCUAAAUGCCUGAUUCUUUGUUUUACGUGCGGGCCCAUGUGGAAAAAUAUGAUGAAACAUAUUAUAUGUAAAAGUUGUACGUUACUAAAUGCUAAGAAUUUUUCACAUA